Molecule: ribosomal RNA, 468 nt
Filed under: uncultured bacterium
Lineage: Bacteria
Description: partial 16S ribosomal RNA
Rfam family: Bacterial small subunit ribosomal RNA
Source: RNAcentral
GACGAACGCUGGCGGCGUGCUUAACACAUGCAAGUCGAACGGAAAGGCCCUGCUUUUGUGGGGUGCUCGAGUGGCGAACGGGUGAGUAACACGUGAGUAACCUGCCCUUGACUUUGGGAUAACUUCAGGAAACUGGGGCUAAUACCGGAUAGGAGCUCCUGCUGCAUGGUGGGGGUUGGAAAGUUUCGGCGGUUGGGGAUGGACUCGCGGCUUAUCAGCUUGUUGGUGGGGUAGUGGCUUACCAAGGCUUUGACGGGUAGCCGGCCUGAGAGGGUGACCGGCCACAUUGGGACUGAGAGACGGCCCAGACUCCUACGGGAGGCAGCAGUGGGGAAUAUUGCACAAUGGGCGGAAGCCUGAUGCAGCGACGCCGCGUGCGUGAUGACGGCCUUCGGGUUGUAAACCGCUUUCGCCUGUGACGAAGCGUGAGUGACGGUAAUGGGUAAAGAAGCACCGGCUAACUACGUG